Molecule: ribosomal RNA, 539 nt
Filed under: Mycobacterium sp. 324-016
Lineage: Bacteria; Bacillati; Actinomycetota; Actinomycetes; Mycobacteriales; Mycobacteriaceae
Description: bacterial SSU rRNA
Rfam family: Bacterial small subunit ribosomal RNA
Source: RNAcentral
GUGCUUAACACAUGCAAGUCGAACGGAAAGGCCCUUCGGGGUACUCGAGUGGCGAACGGGUGAGUAACACGUGGGUGAUCUGCCCUGCACUUUGGGAUAAGCCUGGGAAACUGGGUCUAAUACCGAAUAUGAUCAUGCACCUCCUGGUGUGUGGUGGAAAGCUUUUGCGGUGUGGGAUGGGCCCGCGGCCUAUCAGCUUGUUGGUGGGGUAAUGGCCUACCAAGGCGACGACGGGUAGCCGGCCUGAGAGGGUGACCGGCCACACUGGGACUGAGAUACGGCCCAGACUCCUACGGGAGGCAGCAGUGGGGAAUAUUGCACAAUGGGCGCAAGCCUGAUGCAGCGACGCCGCGUGAGGGAUGACGGCCUUCGGGUUGUAAACCUCUUUCAGCACAGACGAAGCGCAAGUGACGGUAUGUGCAGAAGAAGGACCGGCCAACUACGUGCCAGCAGCCGCGGUAAUACGUAGGGUCCGAGCGUUGUCCGGAAUUACUGGGCGUAAAGAGCUCGUAGGUGGUUUGUCGCGUUGUUCGUGAAAA